GACGAACGCUGGCGGCGUGCCUAACACAUGCAAGUCGAGGGGAAACGAUAGAGAAAGCUUGCUUUUUCUAGGCGUCGACCGGCGCACGGGUGAGUAACGCGUAUCCAACCUGCCCAUCACUUGGGGAUAACCUUGCGAAAGUAAGACUAAUACCCAAUGAUAUCUCUAGAAGACAUCUGAAAAGAGAUUUAAAAGAUUUAUCGGUGAUGGAUGGGGAUGCGUCUGAUUAGCUUGUUGGCGGGGUAACGGCCCACCAAGGCGACGAUCAGUAGGGGUUCUGAGAGGAAGGUCCCCCACAUUGGAACUGAGACACGGUCCAAAACUCCUACGGGAGGCAGCAGUGAGGAAUAUUGGUCAAUGGACGAGAGUCUGAACCAGCCAAGUAGCGUGCAGGAUGACGGCCCUAUGGGUUGUAAACUGCUUUUAUAAGGGAAUAAAGUGGGAGUCGUGGACUCUUUUUGCAUGUACCUUAUGAAUAGGACCGGCU
This 487-nucleotide ribosomal RNA is filed under the name uncultured bacterium. RNAcentral describes it as "bacterial SSU rRNA". It matches the Rfam family "Bacterial small subunit ribosomal RNA", at positions 28 to 498 of the family's 1533-position model. The record is from RNAcentral.